GGGGAUGAAGCCUGGUCCG
RNAcentral lists this small nuclear RNA (19 nucleotides) under Arabidopsis thaliana (thale cress). RNAcentral describes it as "snRNA_13557". The record is from RNAcentral. Lineage: Eukaryota; Viridiplantae; Streptophyta; Magnoliopsida; Brassicales; Brassicaceae.